This 781-nucleotide ribosomal RNA is filed under the name uncultured cyanobacterium. Its description in RNAcentral is "bacterial SSU rRNA". It matches the Rfam family "Bacterial small subunit ribosomal RNA", at positions 57 to 877 of the family's 1533-position model. The record is from RNAcentral. Lineage: Bacteria; Bacillati; Cyanobacteriota.
GCAGUCGUACGAGAGUUUUUAACUCAAGUGGCGGACGGGUGAGUAACACGUGAGAAUCUACCUUUAGGAGGGGGAUAACAACUGGAAACGGUUGCUAAUACCCCAUAUGCUUUCGAGUGAAAUGGAUUUAUCCGCCUAGAGAGGAGCUCGCGGCUGAUUAGCUUGUUGGUAGGGUAAUGGCCUACCAAGGCGACGAUCAGUAUCUGGUUUGAGAGGACGAUCAGACACACUGGAACUGAGACACGGUCCAGACUCCUACGGGAGGCAGCAGUGGGGAAUUUUCCGCAAUGGGCGAAAGCCUGACGGAGCAAUACCGCGUGAGGGAAGACGGCCUAUGGGUUGUAAACCUCUUUUCUCAGGGAGGAACUCAAUGACGUGUACCUGAGGAAUAAGCAUCGGCUAACUCCGUGCCAGCAGCCGCGGUAAGACGGAGGAUGCAAGUGUUAUCCGGAAUCACUGGGCGUAAAGCGUCUGUAGGUGGUUUAAUAAGUCAACUGUUAAAUCUUGAAGCUCAACUUCAAAAUCGCAGUCGAAACUAUUAGACUAGAGUAUAGUAGGGGUAAAGGGAAUUUCCAGUGGAGCGGUGAAAUGCGUAGAGAUUGGAAAGAACACCGAUGGCGAAGGCACUUUACUGGGCUAUUACUAACACUCAGAGACGAAAGCUAGGGUAGCAAAUGGGAUUAGAUACCCCAGUAGUCCUAGCUGUAAACAAUGGAUACUAGAUGUUGAACAGAUCGACCUGUGCAGUAUUAAAGCUAACGCGUUAAGUAUCCCGCCUGGG